CUUCAGAGUUUUUGGUUGAAACACCUUAUUAGUAUUAGGCUGGGGCACAGGGCACAUCUGAACAUGGCAUUUGCAGUUUUUCUCCCACACCAGGUUGUUUUCAGCUGAAUGUAAAUUUAUUUGGGUUUUUUUUUUUUUCUUAGAUUAAAUGCUUUAUAUAUGAGAAUCAUAAAAAAUUAACAGAUUGCCCAGGUCUUUUAGAUUAAUAGUUUUUAUUUUUAUUUUGGAUGUUUGUUUUGUGGUAACAUUUACUGUGUUUUCCUUGCCUCUUGCCUAAUGGUCCCAUCCCUCUCUGUAAAUGUGCAUUUUGCUCUCUCUUCCUCUGGUCCUCUUCUGAUUUGACUGCUUCCCACCUCUUUAGUACCAUAGUAAUUGUUUUGCUUUAUUUUGAUGCCUUUCCACUUUGUGAUGUUCACUUCUCUCAUAGGUUGAGUUCUUUACUAGUUUUCAUUCUUUGCUGCUUUCUCUUGUCUCUUUGUCUUCCUUUCUCUUUCUGUCCCCCCAUGUGCUCUAUAAUGAAAUGUAAGGGUCACGUAUGUAUGUGCUCUGUGCACGGCAGUAAGUAUCCCUGUGUCAUCUGAUUUGCUUCCCUGCCUUUUCUUACAGCUCAAAUGUUUAACAUCUGAACAUCAGCUUUGAGCUAAAGGACAAUAACAAUUUUGCCAGUUGUAUAUACGUUAUCUGUAAAUAUUGUACUGCUCUUCAAAUAAUAAAUCAGAAAGAAAUUUGCUUUCUUUGGGGGGUUAUUGUGUAAAACAAAUGCAAAACUUGUUUUUAGGAUUCAUGAACAAGAAUGAUUAAAGCUCAGUGAUUUUGUGUCCACUAAAAAUAUUACUUUAUCAUGCAAUGAUAUAGUAUAUUACAAUGAAUUUUAUGGUUCUGUUGAAUAAGAAGUAUUACAUUUACCCAUUUCAACUUGCUAAGAGAAGAUUGUACUUUUUAGUAUUUUGGGUAAAAAAGGUAUUUGGCUCAACAAUGUUUGUAGCUAUAUAAAAUGAUGCAACAUUUUGUUACUGAUUUGAAUAACAGUUGCAUUUGUGGGGAAAAUAAGAUUUUUUCACAGUGUCGAGUUAUCAGUUUUAUUGGUAUGACUGCUGGGCUUCAGGCCUUCUCACUCAAUAUCAGUGCCUGACCCCUUGCACCCUUGUGGCUGAAUGGGCAGUUUCCCACAGCCAUGCUUCAAAAUCUAGUGAAAUGACUUCCCAGUAGAGUGAAGGCUGCUGUUGGUGCAAAGGAGGAACAACUCAAUAUUGAUGCCCAUGUGUUUCGAUGCUCAAUACUCAGGUGACAUAUUUAACCAUAUAGUGUAGCUCCUAACCCAAUCCAGUAAUCAGGGUCCAAAGACGGUCCUCAUUUCUGCUUUCUUGUAACCAAGCAAUUGAGCACAUGGAUCAUCCCUGUUCAGAAAAAAUACCCAAUAGAAACCAUAACAGAAAUUCUAAUAGUUUCCACCACAAAUACCAUUAACAAAUAGUGUAUUUUGGGCCUUAUUCUAUUGGGAUUUAAUAUUUGUAUUGGUUUCUACUAGACAUAAACAUACCACCAAUAGAACCCAACACAUUACCAGUAGAGACCCACAAGGACCAUUAUAGUUUCCAUGGUUUCUUUUGGGUUUUGUUGUUGUUUUGUUUGUUUUUUUAAGCAAACACUUCAAACAUUUUUAUUCUGUUACAAAUCCUUUAAAAGAUUUUUCCUGCAGAAAUCCUGUGUCAAUGAUCAGGCACUGGCUUCUCUUGGGUGGUAGUUCUCAGAUGGGACAAAAAAAAUUAAAUGAACUUUUUGUAUAUAAUUUUAUAAUAAGAAAUAUUACUAAGCCAUUUGCCUAAUUUCAUUUUUAUAUGAGGGAAAACUUAUUUCACCUCAAAAUAUCUGCUUCAUGAUGUGAUCACUGUUCUAAAUAUGAGAUUCUUCAUAUUCAAGUAAUUAUAACUCCAUUCUUGUUGCUGUACAGCAGGUUAGAAUUGAGAAUAAAGACUAUUUCUAGUCUCUAAUUUUACCAGAUUAUCAAACCCAAGCCUCUUAUUUAUGUUAUGUAGUGAAUGGGAGUGGUUACUGUCCUCUAGUGUACCAAC
Molecule: long non-coding RNA, 2072 nt
Organism: Ictalurus punctatus (channel catfish)
Lineage: Eukaryota; Metazoa; Chordata; Actinopteri; Siluriformes; Ictaluridae
Source: Ensembl